AAUCUCUAAAAUGUCUUAUAUUUAGGAACGGAGGGAGCAUAUAUCAAGCAAUUACUAAACAAGAUACACGGUCGAACUAUAUAAGGUAAUGAGGUAGCCAGUAACGGAGCUAGAAUCAGACCAUGUUCCAGACAAACUGUAAAGCUACAGUGUAAUACAAUACGGUACAGUGAAUAUUUUGCUACAGUCAACAAAGAAAAUCAUCAUCACCCCCUAGGCCGAGGCCCUGGCUGCCAGGGGCCUGGAUCCGCCUCGGGAGGUGCAGAUUAAGAAGCCAUAUUGUAUUUACUUGUAGUAUUGUAUUUUGACAUGAUACGACUUCACCCAAAUAAUAUAGAACUUCACCCAAGUAAUAUACAAGACUAUCAGGUGAAGUUAACUAAUUGAAACAAACGUUAGGUUACUAGGCUUAUUCCUUCCUCUGCAUAUAUAAAGGCGCUACAUUUUGUGCGUGUGUUUGGGGUGGGUGAGGGGGGCAUUGGUUACAGUCUGUAAUAAGCAUCUCAUAAAAUCGACUGUUGAUAAAUAGUUUCACCAACUACACCUUAUAUUAUAUACAUGAUUCUCUUAUAUAUAUAGGCAACCAUCAAGAUGAAUGGUUCUCUUCAUGCUUGCUAUUCAUUGAGUUAGAACACAUAAGAAAUUUUGUGCUACAGCCUUCAAUAGCCAAAAUGCAAGAAAAAAAAGAUAGAAAAGGAGAGACUAGCUUAGUUUGAGCAUAGGAGACAUCAGGAAUGUAACACAUAAGAUCAAGCCAGAAAAAAUUGCAUAAGUAGGUGAUGCUUUGAUGCAACAACAAUAUGUGCUCUCUGAGAAGGAACAUUGUGGUUUAUUAAUGAGGAAGAAAUGUAGCAAUACACGUAACUUUUUAUUUCUUCUGCAAUAUGCUCGUGCGAGAUGUAUUUGCCCUACGACACACACAGGGUGCUCAACAAUAUACCCAUGCAAGACCAUGUUGUGUGGAAGGCUCUGAUUGUAGGAUGCGGCGGCAUUGAUACUUUUGCAGUCUGCGUUGCCCGUCUAUGUUGACACUUUUGCAGCCCGUGGUGGCAUUGAUGAUCUUGUGAAUGUCUGCACAACGAUCGUUGACAUGUACUGCGAAUGGAGGACAAUGUCUGGGCGGAUGCUAGUCAAGAACAUUGUGUCGUUAAAUGACAUAGUUGCUCAAUAUUACCCACAGUGGGAAUCUUGCGGUUGCAUAUGGGUCAUUCACAUAACUACUGGUACAAUAGUUCUGAUAAGGGAGAGCAUAUAAUGACUGUCACAAUGGAACCAAGCUAAUAUCUCUAGUGACAGGGUGGGAAAUAAUCAUGUGUAAUAUCAAACAAUUCCACCAUUUGAAUGAAAUUGUUCAUAUGGUGACUACUAGUAGUGAAGUGUUGAAAGAAGUACGAAUAUUGAUUUUGAGAUGAUACAACUUCACACAGCUAAUAUAAAAGUAAGACUAUAAUUUUUUUGGGGCAGCUUAAAAACAAACUGUCUCUUCCAGCUUAAAAAAUAAACCGUUU
RNAcentral lists this long non-coding RNA (1508 nucleotides) under Hordeum vulgare. RNAcentral's name for it is "long non-coding RNA (HVUL_LNC017928)". Lineage: Eukaryota; Viridiplantae; Streptophyta; Magnoliopsida; Poales; Poaceae. The record is from RNAcentral.